Molecule: ribosomal RNA, 515 nt
Filed under: uncultured bacterium
Lineage: Bacteria
Description: bacterial SSU rRNA
Rfam family: Bacterial small subunit ribosomal RNA
Source: RNAcentral
GAUCCUGGCUCAGGAUGAACGCUAGCUACAGGCUUAACACAUGCAAGUCGAGGGGCAGCAUGAAGUUUGCUUGCAAACUUUGAUGGCGACCGGCGCACGGGUGAGUAACGCGUAUCCAACCUUCCCUAUACUAGAGGAUAGCCCGGCGAAAGUCGGAUUAAUACUCUAUGUUCUUCGUAGAAGACAUCUGAAAUGAAGCAAAGGUUUACCGGUAUAGGAUGGGGAUGCGUCUGAUUAGGUUGUUGGCGGGGUAACGGCCCACCAAGCCUACGAUCAGUAGGGGUUCUGAGAGGAAGGUCCCCCACAUUGGAACUGAGACACGGUCCAAACUCCUACGGGAGGCAGCAGUGAGGAAUAUUGGUCAAUGGACGAGAGUCUGAACCAGCCAAGUAGCGUGCAGGAAUGACGGCCCUAUGGGUUGUAAACUGCUUUUAUACAGGGAUAAAGUGCACUACGUGUAGUGUUUUGUAGGUACUGUAUGAAUAAGGACCGGCUAAUUCCGUGCCAGCAGCUGC